This 118-nucleotide ribosomal RNA is filed under the name Canis lupus familiaris (dog). Lineage: Eukaryota; Metazoa; Chordata; Mammalia; Carnivora; Canidae. RNAcentral also lists the same sequence under 1 other name. The record is from RNAcentral.
GUCUACGGCCAUACCACCCUGAACGCGCCCGAUCUCGUCUGAUCUCGGAAGCUAAGUAGGUUGGUUAGUACUUGGAUGGGAAAAUCAGCAAAGGGGUCAUGGGAAAAUAGCUCUGACA